Molecule: ribosomal RNA, 329 nt
Filed under: Capnocytophaga sp. W42
Lineage: Bacteria; Pseudomonadati; Bacteroidota; Flavobacteriia; Flavobacteriales; Flavobacteriaceae
Description: bacterial SSU rRNA
Rfam family: Bacterial small subunit ribosomal RNA
Source: RNAcentral
GUGCGUAACGCGUAUGCAACYUACCUUUCACAGGGGGAUAGCCCGAAGAAAUUUGGAUUAAUACCCCAUAAYAUUGYGAGAUGGCAUCAUUUWGCAAUUAAAACUAYGGUGGUGAGAGAUGGGCAUGCGUCCUAUUAGCUAGUUGGAGUGGUAACGGCACCCCAAGGCUACGAUAGGUAGGGGUCCUGAGAGGGAGAUCCCCCACACUGGUACUGAGACAGGGACCAGACUCCUACGGGAGGCAGCAGUGAGGAAUAUUGGUCAAUGGUCGGAAGACUGAACCAGCCAUGCCGCGUGCAGGAAGAAUGCCUUAUGGGUUGUAAACUGCU